UGAGGAAUAUUGGUCAAUGGGCGAGAGCCUGAACCAGCCAUCCCGCGUGCAGGAAGACGGCCCUAUGGGUUGUAAACUGCUUUUUUAUGGGAAGAAAAAGCUCUACGUGUAGGGCACUGACGGUACCAUAUGAAUAAGCAUCGGCUAACUCCGUGCCAGCAGCCGCGGUAAUACGGAGGAUGCAAGCGUUAUCCGGAUUUAUUAGGUUUAAAGGGUGUGUAGGCGGAAGAUUAAGUCAGUGGUGAAAUCUCACAGCUUAACUGUGAAACUGCCAUUGAUACUGGUUUUCUUGAGUAUAGUUGAAGUAGGCGGAAUGUGUAAUGUAGCGGUGAAAUGCUUAGAUAUUACACAGAACACCGAUUGCGAAGGCAGCUUACUAAGCUAUUACUGACGCUGAUGCACGAAAGCGUGGGGAGCGAACAGGAUUAGAUACCCUGGUAGUCCACGCUGUAAACGAUGAUUACUCGUUGUUGGCGA
This 477-nucleotide ribosomal RNA is filed under the name uncultured Bacteroidota bacterium. RNAcentral describes it as "bacterial SSU rRNA". It matches the Rfam family "Bacterial small subunit ribosomal RNA", at positions 355 to 829 of the family's 1533-position model. The record is from RNAcentral. Lineage: Bacteria; Pseudomonadati; Bacteroidota.